RNAcentral lists this ribosomal RNA (115 nucleotides) under Diaphorina citri (Asian citrus psyllid). The record is from RNAcentral. Lineage: Eukaryota; Metazoa; Arthropoda; Insecta; Hemiptera; Psyllidae.
GUCAGCGGCGAUGGCACGUUGAAUGUACCAGUUUCCAAUGGAUCACUGAAGAGUACCGUUGCUGGUGGUUGGUAUCCGGAUGGCUGACCAUCUGGGCUAUCGCGUACUGCUGGCU